This is a long non-coding RNA of Aedes albopictus (Asian tiger mosquito), 463 nucleotides long. RefSeq lists it as uncharacterized. NCBI's taxonomy places the organism in Eukaryota, Metazoa, Arthropoda, Insecta, Diptera, Culicidae. The transcript is spliced from 2 exons. The record is from RefSeq and is a predicted model, not a curated record.
UCGCUGACGAUGACAUUGACAUUGACAAAGCAAUGUUUUCGUUUGGAUCUACCUAAAAUUUAUUCAAUCAUAUUACACAUAUUGCGGCAGGUAGUAGGCUUUUUGUUGAAUUAAAUUAUAUUCUAGCAAAAUUAAAGAAAUUUUAAAGGCCUAGACCUGCCGCACAACAACCCAUAAAACAAACACAAUAUCAAAAAAUUCCGGACAAAUGGACCGCAAGAACAUGCUGAAACUUCUGCUCGGAACGGUAGUAACCCUACACCUGGGAUUUUACUUCGUCAAACCGCUCAUUCUGCCUCCAACGGAACCCAGUCGGACAAAUUCCUUACCGGAGAGACCUUCGUACCGAUAGAAUGAAAACAAUCGGAAGAUACCGGCGGCUGUGAUAUCUUGCAAACAGGAAUAAACUGGCAAUUUCUGAUUGGGUUGAUGAUUGAGAGUGUAAUAUAAUUGAUGAAACAAA